Molecule: ribosomal RNA, 406 nt
Filed under: uncultured bacterium
Lineage: Bacteria
Description: partial 16S ribosomal RNA
Rfam family: Bacterial small subunit ribosomal RNA
Source: RNAcentral
AUUGAACGCUGGCGGCAGGCCUAACACAUGCAAGUCGAACGAGUGGCGGACGGGUGAGUAAUGUCUGGGAAACUGCCUGAUGGAGGGGGAUAACUACUGGAAACGGUAGCUAAUACCGCAUACCAUCGGAUACGCACAGAUGGGAUUAGCUAGUAGGUGGGGUAAAGGCUCACCUAGGCGACGAUCCCUAGCUGGUCUGAGAGUAUGACCAGCGACACUGGAACUGAGACACGGUCCAGAAUCCUACGAGGGGCAGCAGUGGGUACUAUUGCACAAUGGGCGCAAGCCUGAUGCAUCCAUGCCGCGUGUAUAAAGAAGGCCUUCGGGUUGUAAAGUACUUUCAGCGGGGAGGCGUUACCCGCAGAAGAAGCACCGGCUAACUCCGUGCCAGCCGCCGCGGUAAUAC